ACAAAUCUGGAAGCAAAGGGUAAAUUGGUUGGAAGGGGCAGAGGGAAGGGGCUGCUCUGUGAUGAGUUGGGCUCUAUAGAGUUGCACUGGGUGCUUCUCCCUCGUGUUGUUGUGCUGCUGUGGGCCUGGAGCAAAGACUGACCUGACAGCUGGCCUCACAGAAAUAGUAGGGAACCUGUCUGCCUCACCUGGCCUGCCCUGCCAGAGCUCCAUUCAGACUGAUGGAAGGCAAAGGGGCUCAGGAGCAGAGCUGGGCACAGCAGGGACCAGCAGGAGUCAGUGACAAAUCAGCUCAGGAAAAAAAGGAAACGUUUAAUUUUUAUUAUUUAAUCACAGAUGGUGUAGGGGGAAAAAAAAAAAGAAAAAAAAAGCUGCACAAAGAGCAAGAGAGGGGUUGCACUAUAUAUAGAUGUACAGCUGUUUCCUUCAGGUGUUAUAACUCAAAAACGUAGGAUGAUUAAUUUUGAAAGUUGAAAUGUAUAGCAGAUUCUGAUUACAUCUGAGUGUCUAUAAUUUAGCUACUUAGUAAAAUUAACUUGACGUUUUUAGUGAGCUGUGAGGACAAUAAUGUGUGAAGAGACUGAAGAGCAAGUUUGACUGCAUGCUCUUUCCUUACCUCCCCCCCCUCACUUUUCAAUUUGCAAAGUUAAAAAUAAACUUUUUCACUUUUUUUCCUGCAUCUUUCCUUUAAUCCAGAUAAAUGAGUUUGCCUCCCCCUGCUGUCGGCUGCAGUCCAACGUUUUGCUUCGGAGCAUCUCAGAAGGAGAGGUUGAGCACUGUGCAGCCAGGAGCAGCAACAGAGCUUUGGGCAGCCCAGGUAAGUAGCAGCCCAGCUUGGGAUCUCAUUGUGCUUCAGAGAAAACCCAGUGCUGUGAUUUUUGUGAAAAUCAGGCAGCUCAGAAGCGUGUGGCUGUUGUUCUACCUUUAAUAAAUCCCCACCUGCACACACAACCCUUGUGGGGAGCACAGCCAGCAUUCAGUGAGCACAAACUCAUUUUCCAGUGAAAGCCUCUUGCUCUUGCCUCUUCUCCAGAGCGCAGCACGAAGGACCCAACAGAACCCAACCCUGUGCUGAGAUAUCCCACACCUCGUGCCAACCUCUGUGGAUGAUGAGGCAGUAGAGAAAAGGGCUGGAAGAUGGAUUGUGCUCUUGAUUCUUUCAGGACCUGUAUGACUACAACAACAAACAGCUGUAUAACACAAUAUAAAAUCUCAAGUGAGC
Long non-coding RNA from Lagopus muta (rock ptarmigan), 1222 nucleotides. RefSeq lists it as uncharacterized. The transcript is spliced from 3 exons. Lineage: Eukaryota; Metazoa; Chordata; Aves; Galliformes; Phasianidae. The record is from RefSeq and is a predicted model, not a curated record.